This 1013-nucleotide ribosomal RNA is filed under the name Thermoascus aurantiacus. RNAcentral's name for it is "SSU rRNA". It matches the Rfam family "Eukaryotic small subunit ribosomal RNA", at positions 85 to 1106 of the family's 1831-position model. The record is from RNAcentral. Lineage: Eukaryota; Fungi; Ascomycota; Eurotiomycetes; Eurotiales; Thermoascaceae.
AACUGCGAAUGGCUCAUUAAAUCAGUUAUCGUUUAUUUGAUAGUACCCUACUACAUGGAUACCUGUGGUAAUUCUAGAGCUAAUACAUGCGCAAAACCCCGACUUCGGAAGGGGUGUAUUUAUUAGAUAAAAAACCAAUGCCCUUCGGGGCUCCUUGGUGAUUCAUAAUAACUUCACGAAUCGCAUGGCCUUGCGCCGGCGAUGGUUCAUUCAAAUUUCUGCCCUAUCAACUUUCGAUGGUAGGAUAGUGGCCUACCAUGGUGGCAACGGGUAACGGGGAAUUAGGGUUCGAUUCCGGAGAGGGAGCCUGAGAAACGGCUACCACAUCCAAGGAAGGCAGCAGGCGCGCAAAUUACCCAAUCCCGAUACGGGGAGGUAGUGACAAUAAAUACUGAUACAGGGCUCUUUUGGGUCUUGUAAUUGGAAUGAGAACAAUCUAAAUCCCUUAACGAGGAACAAUUGGAGGGCAAGUCUGGUGCCAGCAGCCGCGGUAAUUCCAGCUCCAAUAGCGUAUAUUAAAGUUGUUGCAGUUAAAAAGCUCGUAGUUGAACCUUGGGCCCGUCCUGCCGGUCCGCCUCACCGCGAGUACUGGUCCGGAUGGGCCUUUCUUUCUGGGGAAUCCCAUGGCCUUCACUGGCUGUGGCGGGGAACCAGGACUUUUACUGUGAAAAAAUUAGAGUGUUCAAAGCAGGCCUUUGCUCGGAUACAUUAGCAUGGAAUAAUAGAAUAGGACGUGCGGUUCUAUUUUGUUGGUUUCUAGGACCGCCGUAAUGAUUAAUAGGGAUAGUCGGGGGCGUCAGUAUUCAGCUGUCAGAGGUGAAAUUCUUGGAUUUGCUGAAGACUAACUACUGCGAAAGCAUUCGCCAAGGAUGUUUUCAUUAAUCAGGGAACGAAAGUUAGGGGAUCGAAGACGAUCAGAUACCGUCGUAGUCUUAACCAUAAACUAUGCCGACUAGGGAUCGGGCGGGGUUUCUAUGAUGACCCGCUCGGCACCUUACGAGAAAUCAAAGUUU